CGAGAUCCUACUUUAGUGACUAUUGAAUUUCUUCGUGCUCGUUUACUUGCUGAAAGAGCUGUUUCCAAGAGUGCUAGAGCUAAGCUUGAUGGACUCGCUGAUAAAGUAGCAGAGCUAGAGGAACAGCUAAAGAUUGUAUCUUUACAGAGAAAAAAGGCUGAACAGGCAACUGCUGAAGUUCUUGCGAUCUUGGAAGAAAAUGGAUACACUGAUGUCUCUGAUGAUUAUGAUGGUUCCAACUCUGAUCAUGAAUGCUACUCUCAGACCAAUUCGGUGUUUGGCAAAAGUUUAUCCUGGAAAGGUCG
Molecule: non-coding RNA, 305 nt
Organism: Camelina sativa (false flax)
Lineage: Eukaryota; Viridiplantae; Streptophyta; Magnoliopsida; Brassicales; Brassicaceae
Source: RefSeq, a predicted model, not a curated record